Molecule: ribosomal RNA, 490 nt
Filed under: uncultured bacterium
Lineage: Bacteria
Description: bacterial SSU rRNA
Rfam family: Bacterial small subunit ribosomal RNA
Source: RNAcentral
GUAUAGAACCUACCUUAUAUUGGGGGAUAGCCCAGAGAAAUUUGGAUUAAUACCCCAUAGUAUGCUGAAGUGGCAUCACUUUAGUAUUAAAGAUUUAUCGAUAUAAGAUGGCUAUGCGUUCUAUUAGCUAGUUGGUAUGGUAACGGCAUACCAAGGCUACGAUAGAUAGGGGUCCUGAGAGGGAGAUCCCCCACACUGGUACUGAGACACGGACCAGACUCCUACGGGAGGCAGCAGUGAGGAAUAUUGGACAAUGGAGGCAACUCUGAUCCAGCCAUGCCGCGUGUAGGAAGACUGCCCUAUGGGUUGUAAACUACUUUUAUAGAGGAAGAAACCGCACUACGUGUAGAGCUCUGACGGUACUCUACGAAUAAGGAUCGGCUAACUCCGUGCCAGCAGCCGCGGUAAUACGGAGGAUCCAAGCGUUAUCCGGAAUCAUUGGGUUUAAAGGGUCCGUAGCGGGUUUGUAAGUCAGUGGUGAAAGUUUUCG